This 42-nucleotide small RNA is filed under the name Arabidopsis thaliana (thale cress). RNAcentral's name for it is "ATSL247450". The record is from RNAcentral. Lineage: Eukaryota; Viridiplantae; Streptophyta; Magnoliopsida; Brassicales; Brassicaceae.
UGUUAGCCGGACACACGAGCAGGGACUGGAGCAUCACAACUC